Molecule: long non-coding RNA, 821 nt
Organism: Equus quagga
Lineage: Eukaryota; Metazoa; Chordata; Mammalia; Perissodactyla; Equidae
Exons: 4
Source: RefSeq, a predicted model, not a curated record
GGAGGCGCUCUGAGGUGGGGCCUGGUCUCCCGGGAGGGAUGCUACUGGGAGAGGGAUGGAGAUGAGGGAGACGGCGGGGCAGAAGGACCAGAGUCCAGACCCCGUCAGGGUGGGAAUGGACGCUGGUGGGCCGUGGAGAUAGGACAGCCCACGCUUGCCUGAACCUCACGGGGACGUGAAUUAAAAGCUUCCCCUUGCUGUUCUCCCACUUGCCCGCAGGCUGGCUGGUCUUGGGGAUUGGUCUGUCACCUGGAACAGCGUGGCUGGAGCUGGGCCUCCCUCCCGGAGCCUUCCCCUCACCAGGCGCUAACGUGGAGUGUGUGUUCCAUAAUUGGCAGAUGUCAUUAUGAUUAGACAAUUUCUCGGAGGGGGAGGGAAGGGGAAGACUGGGCCCUCACGGCAGAAGAGCCCCAGGGAAUCAACGAAGGAUGGACCAGAGGAGAAACCCUCACCCAUCUGGACAGGGCCCAGUCCACAUCUGCUAAGGGAAUCGACUGAGACGGCUGCUGGGCACAACCAGGGCCUGCGUCCACGGAGGCCCAGUGGAGCCCCCCAGGAGAAUGCAGCCCCCGCCCUCAGCCUGAGCCCUCCUCACUUGUCAUUCCACCUCCCGGUCCACUCCACUUCUCCCCAGGGAUUUCGGAUGCGGAUCAGCUUCUGCAGGCUUCCACUGCUUUCAACCUGUGGGAGGAUUACAUGAGGAGAAGAGGGAGAUGGAGCUCAGGGAAGCUUCACCGCCUGUCGAAUGAACACUGGUGAUAACGAGCAAACACAGAGCAUGAAUCCUGGAUGGGGGACGGGGGUGCGAUAAAGGAUACUUU